UAUUUUAGUACAGAGGCUGCGCGUGCGGCACCGGGAGUGCUGGGAGGGACUGGUUUGGACUGGGAGCACUGGUUUGUAAUGGGAGCACUGGUUCAUACUGGGAUCCCUGUUCCAUACUGGAAUCAUUGGUCCAUACUGGGAGCACUGGUUCAUACUGGGAGCACUGGUUCAUACUGGAAUCAUUGGUCCAUACUGGGAGCACUGGUUCAUACUGGGAUCCCUGUUCCAUACUGGGAUCAUUGGUCCAUACUGGGAGCACUGGUUUUUACUGGGCCCGGCCCCCCAGCACCACGCAGAGCCCGCGGAUCUUUCUGGAAAGUUUUUAAUCAGAACCUGGAAAAUCCAACGCAGAGGGGGCGUGGCCUGGGCUUGGCCCCUCCCCCCAGUGUCCCCGCACCCAGGGGCGGUGCCCGGGGCGGGGCUACAGCAGGACAGAAAUGGGGGGAAGGGAGGCCCCACCCCCGGCCCCGCCCCUCCCCCACCCAUACCGGGGCCUUCCUGAGUGCGGGGGGAGGGGCAGCCCUGGGGGGAGGGGCGGGGACAGCUCUGUCCCCAACGUGGGGGGGAGGGGCAGGGGACACCGGCAGGGGGAGGGGACACCCCCACCCCCCCUAAGGCCACCCCCGGACUGUCCCCGUGUCCCCCGUAAGGCUCAGGGACCCCCAGGAUGUCCCCACGCGUCCCCUGGGCCACCCCCGGCUGCUCCUGAGCCACCCGGGAUGUCCCCAAAGCCACCCGGGAUGUCCCCAAAGCCACCCGGGAUGUCCCUGCGCCAUCCACGAUGUCCCCCAGGACCCCUCAGAAGGGCCCUGGGCCACCUCUCCUGUCCCCAGAGGUCCCUGUCCCCAAUGAGCCUCCCCAGAAGGUGCCACCAGGAUGUCCCCAUGAAUGAAACCCCGGCCCUGUCCCCAAGGCCCAUCCAGGAUGUCCCCGGGUGUAUCCAGGCGGUCUCAGCUCCAUCCAGGGCUCCCAGGUCCAUCCAGGGCUCCUGGGUCCAUCCAGGUCCAUCCUGGUGCUCCCGUGUCCCCCCGUGGGUGUCCCCUCCAUGUCCGUGGCUCCGUGGCCACCCCAGAGGCACUCCCAGGUCACCGUGUCCGUGUCCCCAGAGCUCCAUGGCCCCUCCUGGGUCACCGUGUCCGUGUCCCCGGAGCUCCAUGGCCACCCCAUGUCCCCAGCACACACGUGUGGCUCAGAGUUUGAGCUCCACGGCCACCUUGGAGGCACUCCUGGGUCACCGUGUCCGUGUCCCCGGAGCUCCAUGGCCACUCCCGGUC
This 1274-nucleotide long non-coding RNA is filed under the name Junco hyemalis (dark-eyed junco). Its description in RNAcentral is "lncRNA (ENSJHYG00000000193.1)". The record is from RNAcentral. Lineage: Eukaryota; Metazoa; Chordata; Aves; Passeriformes; Passerellidae.